AAAAUCCGUCGACUUUAAAAAUCUUGAGACUCCCAAUUAUGCUAUCCCCUUUUCCGUUAGCGGGUCAAAAUUUCUUUACGGAUUCUUUGACRRRCAGAUUUGGACAAAAUAAUAAUGACUUUUAUGCAUGGGAUAUGAUAUGGAAUGCACAUCCAAGUUCAGCAGGGAAUCCCAUYUGAACCAUUCACAUCACAGCAUUACUCAUACUGAGACUGGAAGUCUUUUGCAGAGCCAACAACGACAGUGUUGAGAAAAUUUGYC
This 261-nucleotide transfer RNA is filed under the name Acanthopale sp. Chapman & Chapman 8347. RNAcentral's name for it is "partial tRNA-Leu". The record is from RNAcentral. Lineage: Eukaryota; Viridiplantae; Streptophyta; Magnoliopsida; Lamiales; Acanthaceae.